GGAUGACGGCCCUAUGGGUUGUAAACUUCUUUUGUACGGGAAAAAACCUCUGGUCGUGAAUCAGAGCUGAUGGUACCGUAAGAAUAAGCAUCGGCUAACUCCGUGCCAGCAGCCGCGGUAAUACGGAGGAUGCAAGCGUUAUCCGGAUUCAUUGGGUUUAAAGGGUGCGCAGGCGGAAUAAUAAGUCAGCGGUGAAAGCCUACAGCUUAACUGUAGAACUGCCAUUGAUACUGUUAUUCUUGAGUGUUGUUGAGGUAGGCGGAAUGUGUCAUGUAGCGGUGAAAUGCUUAGAUAUGACACAGAACACCGAUCGCGAAGGCAGCUUACCAAGCAACAACUGACGCUCAUGCACGAAAGCGUGGGGAUCAAACAGGAUUAGAUACCCUGGUAGUCCACGCCGUAAACGAUGAUCACUCGAUGUUGGCGAUACACAGUCAGCGUCUUAGCGAAAGUAUUAAGUGAUCCACCUGGGGAG
Molecule: ribosomal RNA, 475 nt
Filed under: uncultured bacterium
Lineage: Bacteria
Description: bacterial SSU rRNA
Rfam family: Bacterial small subunit ribosomal RNA
Source: RNAcentral